Molecule: long non-coding RNA, 1644 nt
Organism: Homo sapiens (human)
Lineage: Eukaryota; Metazoa; Chordata; Mammalia; Primates; Hominidae
Gene: GUSBP1
Product: GUSB pseudogene 1
Source: Ensembl
GCUGUAGCUUGGAGGCGGUACUUCCUCCAGCAUUUGCCGCGAGUUAUUGGCAAGUUCCCCUGCAGUUUGGGCUGUCUCUGUGGCUGGUUCUGCGGCGUGCGGCCAGCCAUGGAGCGCUCUGGGCCCAGCGAAGUGACAGGCUCAGACGCAUCGGGACCGGACCCGCAGCUUGCGGUCACCAUGGGCUUCACGGGGUUCGGUAAAAAAGCUCGCACAUUUGACUUGGAAGCAAUGUUUGAACAAACUCGAAGAACAGCUGUGGAAAGAAGUUGCAAAACACUGGUUCAACCCAAUGGAAAUGGAUUGAAAGAGUGAAAGUCACUGGUCUCAAAGAAUCUACGGAAUUUAGCAUUUUGAAAAUCACAUAGCAAUUUUGGGUAGGUAUUCACCUGCACUAAAAAACCAGGCAAACAUCCGACUCCCAGGAUAAAGUGACUGAGAGCAGUAGAAGACUUGUUGAGCCUUAAGGAAUAAGAGGAAAAUUACGUUAUGAAGUGCAGGAACAGCACAGACCCAGACGAGGGGACGCAGCCCGGAGCCAGUAACCCGGCGCCACCUCCUCCCCAGGGCGCAGCGCUGGCUGAUCCCCAGAUACCGUGAUCACACGUCCCGGGUCCUGAGAGCGCCUCAUAGGUAGACAGUUCUUUGGGACUUCUGGGAUGCAGCACUUGAAGAGAGGUUUACCUAAACUUUCCUCCUGGGAGCCUGUGAUCAUUUGAAAGUAACAGAAGAAAGUUGUCAGGCUGAGGAAAGUUUCAACAGGCACUUGGUGAGAAUGGGAAGCAUCCAUUCAUUGUGAAAUCGCGGGGACAGAGGAGGAAUUCACGGGAUCAGAGCACUGAGAAACUCCAGAGGCUUCUGGUUCACCGCCCUGAUUCCACAGAUGUGGGUCAGAGGCAGAGAUGGAAGUUGGAAUGGACAAGCCUGCCCUCUCCUUGGCUCUCCAUGGCUCUGUCCUCAGGCUGUUUCUGCAAUUUGACAUGAGGCCUGGCCCCAGGGAAACCAGUGGGGCCUCAUCUCCUCCCUGUGCUGCUCUGAGGUGGAGCCUUCUCAGGGUCAGUCCAGCUCUGGAGCCCCUCUCCAGCUCGGUCACCAAAGCUGUCUGGUCCCAGGGCGGUGCUGAGUGACAGGCAUGCCAGCCAAUCCAAUCGGCAAUUUCAUAUCCAAUGCAUGUGACUGAUAAAGAGAUAACGCCCUGUCUCCAAGACACAGGCUUUACAUAAACAGCUUUAAUGACUUCUUCACUUAGAGACAAGACUCCUUAGUGGUGGAACCUCAGGCAUCCGUGCAGGACGUAAGAAAGCUGCCGUAUAUACAUGAACUGAGAAGUGUGUAGAAGAAUAAAUACUGUAAUAGGUAAUAAAAUGUAUGUAUUUUUAUUUAUGUGCUACUUUGUCUUUCUCCCUCUCUGUGUAUAUACACAUACAUACAAAAAUGUAUUCAUUCUAUGGAAAACAUGAAAGAUGUAAUAUUCUUUACAUAUGAAAUUUUAAUUAAUGUAUUUUUUCUGAUCAUAUGAACACCACAAAUAUAAUUUUAUAAUUUUUUUACCUAACAAUAACUCUUAAACAUGAAUAUACAUGGACAAUAUCAUAGUUUUUUUUUUAAUCAUAAUUAAAAUGGUUGUGAAACAUUCCACUUUAA